GAUGAAGAACGUAGCGAAAUGCGAUAAGUAAUGCGAAUUGCAGAAUUUCCGUGAGUCAUUGAAUCUUUGAACGCACAUUGCGCCCACUGGUAUUCCGGUGGGCAUGCCUGUUCGAGCGUCAUUAUCCUCCCUCAAACCCCGGGUUUGGUGUUGGACCCAAGUUGUGUGAACAACUGGUCUUAAAGACAAUGACGGCGUCCGUGGGACCCUCGGUGCAACGAGCUUUUAGGAGCACGCAUCGAGUUGCAAGGACCUUCCGGGCCGGUCUCCUUUACUAUUUUACAAGGUUGACCUCGGAUCAGGUAGGAAUACCCGCUGAACUUAAGCAUAUCAAUAAGCGGAGGA
Molecule: unclassified non-coding RNA, 345 nt
Filed under: soil metagenome
Description: partial contains 5.8S ribosomal RNA, internal transcribed spacer 2, and large subunit ribosomal RNA
Rfam family: 5.8S ribosomal RNA (bases 1-121)
Source: RNAcentral